RNAcentral lists this ribosomal RNA (468 nucleotides) under uncultured bacterium. RNAcentral's name for it is "partial 16S ribosomal RNA". It matches the Rfam family "Bacterial small subunit ribosomal RNA", at positions 28 to 507 of the family's 1533-position model. The record is from RNAcentral.
GACGAACGCUGGCGGCGUGCUUAACACAUGCAAGUCGAACGGAAAGGCCCUGCGUUUGUGGGGUGCUCGAGUGGCGAACGGGUGAGUAACACGUGAGUAACCUGCCCUUGACUUUGGGAUAACUUCAGGAAACUGGGGCUAAUACCGGAUAGGAGCUCCUGCUGCAUGGUGGGGGUUGGAAAGUUUCGGCGGUUGGGGAUGGACUCGCGGCUUAUCAGCUUGUUGGUGGGGUAGUGGCUUACCAAGGCUUUGACGGGUAGCCGGCCUGAGAGGGUGACCGGCCCCAUUGGGACUGAGCUACGGCCCAGACUCCUACGGGAGGCAGCAGUGGGGAAUAUUGCACAAUGGGCGGAAGCCUGAUGCAGCAACGCCGCGUGCGGGAUGACGGCCUUCGGGUUGUAAACCGCUUUCGCCUGUGACGAAGCGUGAGUGACGGUAAUGGGUAAAGAAGCACCGGCUAACUACGUG